UGGCGCUUCUUCCACUGCAGUGAGAAGCAACUCCGUUUCUCAUCAUGCACCGGGAUUCAGGAAGCAUGAGAAAAAGUGAAUGAUUGCCCUGUGCUAUUCUGCUUCUCCUCCUCAAUCCCCAUAACACCACUUUCUAGGGUUUUGAAUAAGGGACAAAGGCACAAAACUAAGCUGAUCAUUUCUGGUUAUGCACAGUCCUUUCGGCAUCCAAUCACUGACGCUCACUUCACAUCUUUCUCUUAUCGGAGAAUACGAGGGAGGGAUUGCUUACUUCCUGAGCUUUCCUCCUGAGAUGAGUGAGAAAAUGCGAUCCUAAUGUAUAAAUUGUUUGAAUGUAGCAAGAGCUUUGCACGGAGCGAUGUUGGCGAUGGAGAAGGAUUUUGAUUCCAAGUUGAGGAUUCAGAGUAAUUCGUCUAGUGAUGGGAGUGUCCCGAGAUGUCAGAGCAUUCCUUUCCGAGCUCCUCAGGAGAAUUGCACCAUCCAGGACUUUGAAUUGGGAAAGAUCUACGGCGUUGGUUCUUAUUCUAAGGUUGUGAGGGCAAAGAAGAAGGACACGGGAUCUGUAUAUGCAUUGAAGAUCAUGGACAAAAAAUUUAUCACCAAGGAGAACAAAACAACUUAUGUGAAGUUGGAACGUUUAGUGCUUGAUAAAUUGGAUCAUCCUGGAAUUGUGCGGCUGUUUUUCACAUUUCAAGACACAUUUUCUUUGUACAUGGCACUUGAAUCGUGUGAUGGUGGAGAACUUUUUGAUCAAAUAACCAGGAAAAGUCGUUUGUCAGAGGAUGAAGCACGAUUCUAUGCAGCUGAAGUUGUGGAUGCUCUUGAAUACAUACAUAAUAUGAGCUUGAUACAUCGUGAUAUUAAGCCAGAGAACUUGCUGCUUACAGCUGAAGGACAUAUAAAAUUAGCUGAUUUUGGGAGUGUCAAGCCUAUGCAGGGAAGCCAAAUCAUGGACUUCCUUCCAAAUGCAGCAUCAGAUGAUAGAGCCUGCACAUUGGUGGGGACAGCUGCUUAUGUUCCCCCAGAGGUUCUUAAUUCUUCUCCAGCAACAUUUGGAAAUGACCUUUGGGCCCUUGGAUGCACAUUAUACCAAAUGCUCUCAGGAACUUCUCCUUUUAAAGAUGCAAGUGAAUGGCUUAUUUUCCAAAGAAUCAUAGCUAGAGAUAUUCGAUUCCCGGACUAUUUUUCUGAUGAGGCAAGGGACCUUAUUGACCAGUUACUGGAUUUAGAUCCCAGCAGGAGACCAGGUGCAGGACCUAACGGUUAUACUGUUUUGAAAAGGCAUCCAUUUUUCAAGGGAGUGGACUGGAGUAACGUUAGGGAUCAAAUCCCCCCAAAACUUGCUAUGGAACCAGGGUCACCUGAAGCUGAUGAUGUUUAUGAUUCAUCAUGGAGCCUUUCUCACGCUGGGGAUGGUUCUGCUAGGCAAUCUGAUGGAAAUAUUGGUGCUACAUCAUCUUCUGAGGGGUUUGAUCACAUAACUAGGCUAGCCUCAGUAGAUUCUUUUGAUUCAAAGUGGCAACAAUUUUUGGAUCCUGGUGAAUCUGUUAUUAUGACCUCAAUGGUAAAAAAGAUGCAGAAACUAACGAGCAAGAAGGUGCAGCUCAUCCUUACUAACAAACCAAAGCUGAUCUAUGUGGAUCCUUCAAAGCUUAUUGUGAAGGGAAAUAUAAUAUGGUCUAAUAAUCCAAAUGAAUUAUGCAUUCAAGUGACAAAUCCUUCUUGUUUCAAAAUUUGCACAGGUCAUUGGCGUUACCAGUGUAGCUUUAAAAGCCUAAAAAGUUGCAAUUGUGCCCCUAAAAUGCUGAAAAGCAUAUUCUGGCAGUGCUGUAUGGACGGCACGUGAAGCUCAUGCAUAGGGAGCUCCGUUAGCAUGGAUACGUGUGCAGUGGUGGACAGUGGUGAGGCUUCUGAGUCUCUCUGGAUUCUUCUUUUCGAGCAUGAUGGUAAUGUUGGUUUCGUGGUUUGACGUUAGGAAGGGAGAGUUUUGGCUAUGGCAGCGUGAAACAUGGGGUAUAGAGACUUCCCGACGAGUUUUCUUUGUUUUUCCUGGUGAUGGAAGCUACCAAGGAAUGCUCGGGUCUAGCUCGGAUAUGAAAAUGGUGCAGCACACAUAAUCACUUAUGCAAACAGAGGGAAAAUGGGAGAAGAAAAUAGAAAUAGAGUGAGAGGAGGGGAAUUAAGAAUAGAGGAGGAGAGAGACAGAAGCAAGGGACCAGAGGGGGAGCUCCAAAAAAGGUAUUGUCAUUUGAGGAUGCCAAGCAGAGAGCUUUUCAGUGGAAGAAAUCAAUUGAAGAGCUUCAAAACCGGUGAUAUUGAUAUUCAUUUUGCAUUUAACUACAGCUCUUUUUCCUUUGGAUAUCUUGAUAUUGUUCAGGGAUGAACUGGACGGUCCUGUGAUCAGUUAGUCAUCAAUAUGAAACUCAGUUGUGGAUGUAACCUUCUUCCCAAACUGGACGGUCCUGUGAUGCCAUGUUGGAGGUUGGAAACUUGAAAUCAUUACUUUGUAUUGUAUGCAAGUUCAGUCAUUCCUGAUAAUUUAGAUUUAGAGUUGAAAUGAAACUUUUUUAGGGGUUAAUACUGCGUUAAUUUCUAGGCUUAA
This is an RNA transcript of Prosopis cineraria, 2602 nucleotides long. It is a transcript of the gene named 3-phosphoinositide-dependent protein kinase 2-like, with no coding region annotated. The transcript is spliced from 12 exons. The record is from RefSeq and is a predicted model, not a curated record. NCBI's taxonomy places the organism in Eukaryota, Viridiplantae, Streptophyta, Magnoliopsida, Fabales, Fabaceae.